Molecule: ribosomal RNA, 430 nt
Filed under: uncultured bacterium
Lineage: Bacteria
Description: bacterial SSU rRNA
Rfam family: Bacterial small subunit ribosomal RNA
Source: RNAcentral
GUGGGGAAUAUUGCACAAUGGGGGGAACCCUGAUGCAGCAACGCCGCGUGCGGGAUGACGGCCUUCGGGUUGUAAACCGCUUUCAUCCAUGACGAAGCGAAAGUGACGGUAGUGGGAGAAGAAGCACCGGCUAACUACGUGCCAGCAGCCGCGGUGAUACGUAGGGUGCGAGCGUUGUUCGGAAUUAUUGGGCGUAAAGAGCUUGUAGGCGGUUGAUUGCGUCGGCAGUGUAAUCCCGAGGCUUAACUUCGGGCUUGCUGUCGAUACGGGUUGACUUGAGGGAUGUAGGGGAGAAUGGAAUUCCCGGUGGAGCGGUGGAAUGCGCAGAUAUCGGGAGGAACACCAGUGGCGAAGGCGGUUCUCUGGACAUUUCCUGACGCUGAGAAGCGAAAGCGUGGGGAGCAAACAGGCUUAGAUACCCCUGUAGUCC